This 402-nucleotide ribosomal RNA is filed under the name uncultured bacterium. Its description in RNAcentral is "bacterial SSU rRNA". It matches the Rfam family "Bacterial small subunit ribosomal RNA", at positions 29 to 416 of the family's 1533-position model. The record is from RNAcentral.
AACGAACGUUAGCGGCGCGCUUAACACAUGCAAGUCGCACGAGAAAGGGCUUCGGCCCCGGUAAAGUGGCGCACGGGUGAGUAACACGUGGGUAAUCUGCCCUCGAGCGGGGGAUAACAUCUCGAAAGGGAUGCUAAUACCGCAUAAGACCACAGCCUCGAAAGAGGCAGCGGUCAAAGCAGGCCUCUGUAUACAAGCUUGCACUUGAGGAUGAGCCCGCGGCCCAUCAGCUAGUUGGCAGGGUAACGGCCUACCAAGGCGACGACGGGUAGCUGGUCUGAGAGGAUGAUCAGCCACACUGGAACUGAGACACGGUCCAGACUCCUACGGGAGGCAGCAGUGGGGAAUCUUGCGCAAUGGGCGAAAGCCUGACGCAGCGACGCCGCGUGGGUGAUGAAGGCC